GUGUUCGCUCAUGCAGCACAUAUGAUAAAUUGGAAUCGAUACAGAGAAAAUAAGCAUGGCCCCUGCAAAA
Molecule: small nuclear RNA, 70 nt
Filed under: Mola mola (ocean sunfish)
Lineage: Eukaryota; Metazoa; Chordata; Actinopteri; Tetraodontiformes; Molidae
Source: RNAcentral